Molecule: long non-coding RNA, 568 nt
Organism: Homo sapiens (human)
Lineage: Eukaryota; Metazoa; Chordata; Mammalia; Primates; Hominidae
Source: Ensembl
AGCAGACAGUUACAGCUCCCACUAGGACACUGCCUUCUCAGCGGCUUCAGUUAUCAGAUAUUCCUGGACAUACUUUCCAAGCCAUGAAAAAUAACCAGAGCCACAGCUUUCCCAGCACUCUGACAAACAUCCAUGAGCCCCCAAAGACCGGGAAGUAAUGAUGAUGCAGCUGCGGCACCAUAGAAGAAACAAGUGAUUUCAGUCAAAGGGCCUGGACUCACGAGCUAGCAACUUUGGACAGAUUCUUGAACUCUCAGCCUCAGUUUCUGCUUCUGUAAAGGGAGAUAACUACAGUGACCUUCAGGUUAUCUUGAAGAUGCCAAUGAGCUAGUGAAAAUGCAAUUUAAUCUGUACAGAACUAAACAAAUGUAAGUCAGUGCUAAUAUUCUGUUCCUAGUGGGGACAUGCCAAGUCUCUUUACUGCAACCAGUGGUUCACAUAUGGAAAUAUUGUGCUAAUUUCCAACUCCUACUUAUAUAUAUGAUUUGUUAACUCUGGAGGAUGCAGCCAUCAGCAUAAGCAACCAACAGAAGAACACGCUGGAUCCUCUCCUUUUCCUGACAGUGUG